Molecule: ribosomal RNA, 597 nt
Filed under: Triticum aestivum (bread wheat)
Lineage: Eukaryota; Viridiplantae; Streptophyta; Magnoliopsida; Poales; Poaceae
Description: partial small subunit ribosomal RNA
Source: RNAcentral
AUGCCAGGAUCACAAGCCGACGAGAUUGACUGGGAGAAUUUAUCGAACAAGGAGCUUCAUGAUAAGUUUCAGCAAAUGAUGACUAAACAGGUGCAAGAUGUGCUGAACAAUUUUGAAGAGGCCAUGGAGAAGAUCACUGGCCUUGAGAAGACGUUCGAAACAAAGCUCGAUAACAAGUUUAAUGAAUUGCUCGCGCGUCUUCCACCACCACCACCACCCGCUGCACCUAACGCACCUCUCCAACAACAACAACAACGACUACCUCCACGUCACGAAAUAGACCUCCGCCGAGCAAGCCGUGUUCCUCUUGCGUUUGGCCAAACUGUUGGUGCUGCUGUUGAUACUUCUGUGGCUCCUGUUGCUGAUGCGGAGGAGGAUGAUUAUGUGGGAGAUUAUGAGGAUGAGGUUGAUCAAAAUCAGCACUACGUGCAGCCACCUGUACCACCACCAGCAGGUCGACCUCAGGUAUAUAUUCUUAAUGGUAGGCCUGCACCACCACCUCAGGUACGAGAUGAUGUCCAUAUUCCUAAACUGAAAUUGAAUAUUCCACCAUUUGAGGGUAGAUAUGUUCCUGAUAUAUAUCUUACUUGGGCGUAA